This 407-nucleotide ribosomal RNA is filed under the name uncultured bacterium. Its description in RNAcentral is "bacterial SSU rRNA". It matches the Rfam family "Bacterial small subunit ribosomal RNA", at positions 355 to 776 of the family's 1533-position model. The record is from RNAcentral.
UUAGGAAUCUUCCGCAAUGGGCGAAAGCCUGACGGAGCGACACCGCGUGAAGGAUGAAGCCCUUACGGGCGUAAACUUCUGUUCUGAGGGACGAAAUUUUUGACGGUACCUCAGGAGAAAGCACCGGCUAAUUCUGUGCCAGCAGCCGCGGUAAGACAGAAGGUGCAAGCGUUACUCGGAAUUACUGGGCGUAAAGCGUCUGUAGGUGUCUCGUCGCGUCUGACCUCAAAUUGCGGGGCUCAACCCCGUACUCGGGUCGGAAACGGGCGAGAUCGAGUCAUUCAGAGGCAUCUGGAAUGUCGUGUGUAGGGGUAAAAUCCGUAGAUACACGAUGGAACGCCAAAAGCGAAGGCAGGAUGCUGGGAAUGUACUGACACUCAGAGACGAAAGCGUGGGGAGCAAAGGGG